AUUGAACGCUAGCGGGAUGCUUUACACAUGCAAGUCGAACGGAGUGGCGGACGGGUGAGUAAUAUAUCGGCACGUGCCCAGUAGCGGGGGAUAACUACUCGAGAGAGUGGCUAAUACCGCCUACUCUUGGAGCGGCCGAUAUCGGAUGAGCUAGUUGGUGGGGUAACGGCUCACCAAGGCAACGAUGCGUAGCUGGUUGGAGAGGACGACCAGUAACCCGGUGACUGAGACACGGCACAGAAUCCUACGGUAGGCAGCAGUGGGGAAUUUUGGAAAAGGGGGGAGACCCUGAUCCAGCCAUCCCGCGUGUAUGAUGAAGGCCCUCGGGGUGUAAAGUACUUUUGGCAGAGAAGCGGUAUCUGCAGAAUAAGCACCGGCUAACUACGUGCCAGCAGCCGCGGUAAUAC
Molecule: ribosomal RNA, 407 nt
Filed under: uncultured bacterium
Lineage: Bacteria
Description: partial 16S ribosomal RNA
Rfam family: Bacterial small subunit ribosomal RNA
Source: RNAcentral